UCUGAUCUCUAGCUUUUGCUUAAAACUCAAAGGACUUGGUGGAGAUUAUAUCGAUCUAGAGGAGCCUGUUCUGUAAUCGAUAAACCCCGAUAUACCUCACCAUUUCUUGCUAAUUCAGUCUAUAUACCGCCAUC
Molecule: long non-coding RNA, 134 nt
Organism: Perognathus longimembris pacificus (Pacific pocket mouse)
Lineage: Eukaryota; Metazoa; Chordata; Mammalia; Rodentia; Heteromyidae
Exons: 3
Source: RefSeq, a predicted model, not a curated record